GAUGAACGCUGGCGGCGUGCCUAAUACAUGCAAGUCGAGCGAACAGACGAGGAGCUUGCUCCUCUGACGUUAGCGGCGGACGGGUGAGUAACACGUGGAUAACCUACCUAUAAGACUGGGAUAACUUCGGGAAACCGGAGCUAAUACCGGAUAAUAUAUUGAACCGCAUGGUUCAAUAGUGAAAGACGGUUUUGCUGUCACUUAUAGAUGGCUCCGCGCCGCAUUAGCUAGUUGGUAAGGUAACGGCUUACCAAGGCAACGAUGCGUAGCCGACCUGAGAGGGUGAUAGGCCACACUGGAACUGAGACACGGUCCAGACUCCUACGGGAGGCAGCAGUAGGGAAUCUUCCGCAAUGGGCGAAAGCCUGACGGAGCAACGCCGCGUGAGUGAUGAAGGUCUUCGGAUCGUAAAACUCUGUUAUUAGGGAAGAACAAAUGUGUAAGUAAAUAUGCACGUCUUGACGGUACCUAAUCAGAAAGCCACGGCUAACUACGUG
RNAcentral lists this ribosomal RNA (497 nucleotides) under uncultured bacterium. Its description in RNAcentral is "partial 16S ribosomal RNA". It matches the Rfam family "Bacterial small subunit ribosomal RNA", at positions 28 to 507 of the family's 1533-position model. The record is from RNAcentral.